GACUCUGUAGUGAAAUUCAUAGUGAGUUGCAAGCUCAUUGAUGUGCAUGAGUAGUGCGCCAGGGUCU
This 67-nucleotide transfer RNA is filed under the name Aegithalos fuliginosus (Sooty tit). RNAcentral's name for it is "tRNA-Cys". The record is from RNAcentral. RNAcentral also lists the same sequence under 1 other name. Lineage: Eukaryota; Metazoa; Chordata; Aves; Passeriformes; Aegithalidae.